CGGGAUAGCUCAGCAGGUAAAGCAAAGGACUGAAAAUCCUCGUGUC
Molecule: transfer RNA, 46 nt
Filed under: Turnera opifera
Lineage: Eukaryota; Viridiplantae; Streptophyta; Magnoliopsida; Malpighiales; Passifloraceae
Also listed under: 3 other names
Description: partial tRNA-Phe
Source: RNAcentral